Molecule: non-coding RNA, 96 nt
Filed under: Marinobacter sp. LV10R510-11A
Lineage: Bacteria; Pseudomonadati; Pseudomonadota; Gammaproteobacteria; Pseudomonadales; Marinobacteraceae
Source: RNAcentral
CGCCGAUGGGGGUAACCCUGCCGGUGAUUGAGCAGAAGUCAGCAGACGGCAUAGUAGCCAAACGCCCAUCGUAAUGGUUGGGACACGGUGAAGGCC